ACCUCUUAGUGGUGGAUCAUUCAGCUCAUGCGUUGAUGAACAACACCGCUAGCUGCGAGAAAUAAUGUGAAUUGCAGGACACAUUGACCAUCAACACUUUGAACGCACCGUGCAGCCCCGGGUUCCUCCCAGGGCUACAUCUGUCUGAGGGUCG
Molecule: ribosomal RNA, 154 nt
Filed under: Monopterus albus (swamp eel)
Lineage: Eukaryota; Metazoa; Chordata; Actinopteri; Synbranchiformes; Synbranchidae
Description: 5.8S ribosomal RNA (ENSMALG00000009792.1)
Rfam family: 5.8S ribosomal RNA
About the family: 5.8S ribosomal RNA (5.8S rRNA) is a component of the large subunit of the eukaryotic ribosome. It is transcribed by RNA polymerase I as part of the 45S precursor that also contains 18S and 28S rRNA.
Source: RNAcentral